RNA transcript from Nasonia vitripennis (jewel wasp), 1543 nucleotides. It is a transcript of the gene named apolipoprotein O-like, with no coding region annotated. The transcript has 7 exons. The record is from RefSeq and is marked validated. NCBI's taxonomy places the organism in Eukaryota, Metazoa, Arthropoda, Insecta, Hymenoptera, Pteromalidae.
GCACUGAUUGGAUUCAACUUCAAGCAAUACAUCUUUGGUACUCUUACUUAUUCAUCAUCAAAAUUUCAGUAAUAUAUUAACCCAAAAUGUUAAAUUUAAGUUUUUAAAUAAAUUUUAAACCUAUCAAAAUUAUUUUUAAAAAAGCAAAAAAAAACUUAUAUUAUUGAAAUGAGAGAUUUGGUCCACAAAUUUUUAGAUUUGACUAUAGGAAAUUUAUUUGGCAAAGACAUUACAUGCAGAGAACCCAUUCAUCGUUGUGAUGCCUAUCAACCUGGUGUUUUGGUUGAAUUUGGCAGAACUGGGAUCAAGCUGUUCAAAAAAUUCUUGAUGCCCUGCGGUAUCUGCGCAGCAGUGCCUGUAAUCAAGUCUAAGGAUGAACCAACAUCGGUCAAUAAUGAACAAAAAAAACUUGUUCGACCAUCUGAACUACCAAUUUACACAUUCGAAAAAGCUGAAACUAGGGAACCUCCAUGCAAAGAAAAUACAGAACAAGGUAUUUUGGAGCAAGGAUUUGGAACUGUAAGAAAAUCAGUACAAGAUGUCCUCAAGCAAUUCACUGGAUACACAGAUGUUGUUACAAAUACAAUUGAUACUGGUGUAGCCCAUAGUCAAGUGACACUGGAUUACUUGAGAGAAGAAACAAAUGUGCUACCUCGUAUUGGUGCAGUAGGUGUAGGUGGCUUAUCUGGGUUGAUCCUAGGUUUGAGGGGUGGAAAACUCAAAAAGUUAGUUUACUCCAGCACAGGUGCUCUUGUUGUUGCAUCGAUAUGCUAUCCAAAGCAAGCUCAAGAAGGAAUGACACUAGCAAAGCAUUACAUCAAUAUUGGAUACAAUUUUGUGUAUGGUGUUAAACCCGGAGAUGCAAAUCAAUUGGAAAUAUCUUGGCCAGAAUUGCCAAAAGUACCAAGCACUUUGUCUGAAGUUGCAGACUUAGCUGGCAGUGCUGCUGGUUCAGCUUUUUCAGCUGUUGGUACGCUAGUUGGUAAAGCUUCUGAAGCAUUUCAUGAAUUUUCGGAGAAUCAGAGACAGAUACUAAAAAUGAUACAGUAGCUCACGAAAUAACGUUUGUACGAGACGAUCUGGAUGAUACGAAAGCUGUGGAAAUCGUAGACUCGACAGCUUUCGAAGAAAAAUUCAAAAAUAAUACAAAAAGAAAGUUUUUCAUUUGGAAAUAAGUAACAGAUGUUGAAACUUCCUUUCCUACCACCUAAGUCUCCAUUUCAAAACGACAAGCCUAAGAAGAGCUAAAAAAUUGACUGUUAUCGAAGAACCGUCACCUAGUAGAAGCAACAAUCCAGUCCAGCUGUAUUAAAUCAUUGUACAAAAAUAUCAGCGUAGUACGCGCCAUCGUGAAUCAGGCGAAUCAGGAUCAUGUGUAAGCGAGAUUAUGACCAGCUUGCGAAUAAAAAAAAUUGAGCAGCUAAACACCGACAUUUGUUUCCCGAUUAGCUCGAACGUUUGCAUGAGCAGGCACUCGUUUGUUUUUACCUUUUCAAAAGUACUCUCAUUUCAAAAUUUUAACAAUAAAGAAAAUUUAACUUAA